CAGUAGCCGCGGUAAUACGAGGGGGGCAAGCGUUACUCGGAAUUACUGGGCGUAAAGCGUGCGUAGGUGGUGGUUUAAGUCCGUUGUGAAAGCCCUGGGCUCAACCUGGGAAUUGCAGUGGAUACUGGGUCACUAGAGUGUGGUAGAGGAUAGUGGAAUUUCCGGUGUAGCAGUGAAAUGCGUAGAGAUCGGAAGGAACAUCUGUGGCGAAGGCGACUAUCUGGGCCAACACUGACACUGAGGCACGAAAGCGUGGGGAGCAAACAGGAUUAGAUACCCCUGUAGUCCCUGUCUCUUAUAC
Molecule: ribosomal RNA, 301 nt
Filed under: uncultured bacterium
Lineage: Bacteria
Description: partial 16S ribosomal RNA
Rfam family: Bacterial small subunit ribosomal RNA
Source: RNAcentral